Molecule: long non-coding RNA, 323 nt
Organism: Gadus macrocephalus (Pacific cod)
Lineage: Eukaryota; Metazoa; Chordata; Actinopteri; Gadiformes; Gadidae
Exons: 2
Source: RefSeq, a predicted model, not a curated record
AAGAUAUGUAGGCCUAUGGGUUUCAAUGGAGAGAAAGUAAUUAUCUUCUGGUCCAAGUCGUUUACAUGCCCUGGAUUACACAUACAUAUGUUUGUGGAUUUAAAUGCUAAUUUUUCAUGUCAAGACUUACUUUGACCGUUUAUUGUGCAAUUGUUCAGUUAAAGGCUGUAGAGAAAACACAAUGAGAAAGACUACAUGUCUCGUAUGUGCCGUCACGCUCCCUGCGACUGGCGUGGACAAGACCGACAAUCUCCCCAUCGGCAUAACUGAAACUCUCCACAUGCCCCGACUUAUAAUGGUUUUCACCUCUUUCGAUGCUUUUA